RNAcentral lists this long non-coding RNA (310 nucleotides) under Apteryx owenii (little spotted kiwi). RNAcentral's name for it is "lncRNA (ENSAOWG00000005250.1)". The record is from RNAcentral. Lineage: Eukaryota; Metazoa; Chordata; Aves; Apterygiformes; Apterygidae.
GGGGGGGGUCGUCCUCACUGCUGCCCUCAGGUGCUAAGAAUCCAGGAUAGCAGCCAACGGGCCCACGCAUGCGCACUGCGUUCCGCCGCGCUCACUGCUACCCUCGGCUGUCGAUAAAGUAGUACUGCACGCGUAAGGCGCACGCAUGCGCACUGGUUUUUCCAUGCUCACUGCUGCCCUCAGGUGUCGACACGCCAGUACUGCAGCCACGACUGCCCUCCCCCGCGUACAAAGAAUACUGCAGCCAGCCGGCGCGCACCGCCGAUCGCUGUGUUCGCCGUUACUCUCCGGUGCUCCGGGAACGGGGUAG